Molecule: ribosomal RNA, 349 nt
Filed under: uncultured soil bacterium
Lineage: Bacteria
Description: bacterial SSU rRNA
Rfam family: Bacterial small subunit ribosomal RNA
Source: RNAcentral
AGAUUGAACGCUGGCGGCAGGCCUAACACAUGCAAGUCGAGCGGUAGAGAGGUGCUUGCAUCUCUUGAGAGCGGCGGACGGGUGAGUAAUGCCUAGGAAUCUGCCUAGUGGUGGGGGAUAACGUUCGGAAACGGACGCUAAUACCGCAUACGUCCUACGGGAGAAAGCGGGGGACCUUCGGGCCUCGCGCCAUUAGAUGAGCCUAGGUCGGAUUAGCUAGUUGGUGAGGUAAUGGCUCACCAAGGCGACGAUCCGUAACUGGUCUGAGAGGAUGAUCAGUCACACUGGAACUGAGACACGGUCCAGACUCCUACGGGAGGCAGCAGGUGGGGGAAUAGUUGGAACAAGU